This 252-nucleotide ribosomal RNA is filed under the name uncultured bacterium. Its description in RNAcentral is "partial 16S ribosomal RNA". It matches the Rfam family "Bacterial small subunit ribosomal RNA", at positions 524 to 776 of the family's 1533-position model. The record is from RNAcentral.
UACGUAGGGGGCAAGCGUUGUCCGGAUUUAUUGGGCGUAAAGAGCGUGUAGGCGGUUUGGUAGGUCCGCUGUGAAAACUCGAGCUCAACCUCGAGACGCCGGUGGAAACCAUCAGACUAGAGUCCGGAAGAGGAGAGUGGAAUUCCUGGUGUAGCGGUGAAAUGCGCAGAUAUCAGGAGGAACACCGAUGGCGAAGGCAGGUCUCUGGGCCACUACUGACGCUGAGAAGCGAAAGCAUGGGGAGCGAACAGG